Molecule: non-coding RNA, 142 nt
Filed under: Paraburkholderia caribensis
Lineage: Bacteria; Pseudomonadati; Pseudomonadota; Betaproteobacteria; Burkholderiales; Burkholderiaceae
Description: Glycine sequence
Rfam family: Glycine riboswitch aptamer
About the family: This family represents the bacterial glycine riboswitch. Glycine riboswitches usually consist of two metabolite-binding aptamers domains with similar structures in tandem.
Source: RNAcentral
UUUUCGCACUCUGGAGAGCGGCAGUAGCGCCCGUGCACUAACCCGCACGCGCAGGCUGCCCACCGAAGGGGCGCGCGCCACGCCGGACAGCACUCGCUGACGGCAGCGCAAUCUCUCAGGUAUCGAGGACAGAGGGGGCAUG